GGUGGAUGCGGCCUCGAUUAGCGGGGGAACCACAUGAAAAAAAGCGAGCUACUGGGUGUACCUCCUGGGUAGUUUGGAAAUCACCUAAGAUAUAUAUGUAUAUAUUUAUAAAUAAAAGUUAAUAUAUAUAAAUUAACAUUAAUUUUUUUUAACAGGAAAUGCACAAUGCUAAAAACUGCGUAGGAGAUUUUAAUACAAUAGUACUACCAAGCCUGAUGUUGGCCGCUAUUUCAAUGAAUGCAGCAGUGUCACAGCUAGCAAUCAAAAGUAACAAGAUAUUGAGGAAAUGCAGAUGGCAAUAAACUGUGUAGGAGUUCAUGAUUGCAAUAGAAUAAAAUCGACCAAGCCUGAAGUCAGCAGCCCCUUCAAUGAAUGCAGCAGUGUGACAGCCAGCAAUCAAAAGUUACAAGAUAUCGAGGAAAUGCAGAUGGCAAUAAACUGUGUAGGAGUUUAUGAUUGCAAUAGAAUAAAAUCGACCAAGCCUGAAGUCAGCAGCCCCUUCAAUGAAUGCAGCAGUGUGACAGCCAACAAUCAAAAGUUACAAGAUAUCGAGGAAAUGCAGAAGGCAAAAAACUGCGUAGGAGAUCAUUAAUACAAAAGUAUUAUAUAAACCAAACCUGAUGUUGCCAGCUCCUUCAAUGAAUGCAGCAGUGUGACAGCCAGCAAUCAAAAGUAACAAGAUAUCGAGGAAAUGCAGAAGGCAAAAAACUGCAUAGGAGAUCAUUAAUACAAUAGUAUUAUAUAAACCAAGCCUGAUGUUGGCCGCUCAUUCAAAGAAUGCAGCAGUGUGACAGCCAGCAAUCAAAAGUAACAAGAUGUCGAGGAAAUGCAGAGUGCAAUAAACUUUGUAGGAGAUUAUGAUUGCAAUAGAAUAAAAUCGACCAAGCCUGAAGUUCUUCAAUGCACGCAGCAGUGUGACAGCCAGCAAUCAAAAGUUACAAGAUAUCGAGGAAAUGCAGAAGGCAAAAAACUGCGUAGGAGAUUAUUAAUACAAUAGUAUUAUAUCAACCAAGCCUGAUGUCGGUAGCUUCUUCAAUGAAUGCAGCAGUGUGACAGCCAGCAAUCAAUAGUGAUAGUGACAAGAAUCUAGGAAAUACAGAAGGCAAAGAAGCAGAUGUCAUCAAAGAAGAUCUUUGUUCCUGCAAUGUUUCCGCAGACGAUACAUCCAACAGAGCGAAGUGGAAGGAAAAGACUCGGAAAAAAGACCCCACCACCAUAUGGGAACAAUGCAAGGGAGAGAGAGAGAAUAUAAUUUUAUAUUUUUAUUUUUUGAUAACAUAAAAUAAACCAACAAUAUCCUACACAUUUUUUUUAUUUCUUUUUGUGUCUGUCUUAAUAGUUAUUACAAAUCUGUGAUGCGAAACAAAC
Molecule: long non-coding RNA, 1368 nt
Filed under: Pectinophora gossypiella (pink bollworm)
Lineage: Eukaryota; Metazoa; Arthropoda; Insecta; Lepidoptera; Gelechiidae
Description: uncharacterized LOC126369172
Source: RNAcentral